AUACGUAGGGUGCAAGCGUUAAUCGGAAUUACUGGGCGUAAAGCGUGCGCAGGCGGUUUUGUAAGACAGAGGGGAAAUCCCCGGGCUCAAACUGGGAACUGCCUUUGUGACUGCAAGGCUAGAGUACGGCAGAGGGGGAUGGAAUUCCGCGUGUAGCAGUGAAAUGCGGAGAUAUGCGGAGGAACACCGAUGGCGAAGGCAAUCCCCUGGGCCUGUACUGACGCUCAUGCACGAAAGCGUGGGGAGCAAACAGGAUUAGAUACCCUGGUAGUCCACGCCCUAAACGAUGUCAACUGGUUGUUGGGUCUUCAUUGACUCAGUAACGAAGCUAACGCGUGAAGUUGACCGCCUGGGGAGUACGGCCGCAAGGUUGAAACUUAAAGGAAUUGGCGGGG
Molecule: ribosomal RNA, 395 nt
Filed under: uncultured bacterium
Lineage: Bacteria
Description: partial 16S ribosomal RNA
Rfam family: Bacterial small subunit ribosomal RNA
Source: RNAcentral